AUACGGAGGGUGCAAGCGUUGUCCGGAUUUAUUGGGUUUAAAGGGUGCGUAGGUGGUUUUUUAAGUCAGUGGUGAAAGCCUACAGCUUAACUGUAGAGGUGCCAUUGAUACUGGGGAACUUGAGUAUGGACGAGGUAGGCGGAAUUUGUGGUGUAGCGGUGAAAUGCAUAGAUACCACAAGGAACACCGAUAGCGAAGGCAGCUUACUGGGCCAUAAUUGACACUGAGGCACGAAAGCGUGGGGAGCGAACAGGAUUAGAAACCCUAGUAGUCC
This 274-nucleotide ribosomal RNA is filed under the name uncultured bacterium. Its description in RNAcentral is "partial 16S ribosomal RNA". It matches the Rfam family "Bacterial small subunit ribosomal RNA", at positions 523 to 796 of the family's 1533-position model. The record is from RNAcentral.